RNAcentral lists this transfer RNA (101 nucleotides) under Eggerthellaceae bacterium zg-893. Its description in RNAcentral is "tRNA-Ser". Lineage: Bacteria; Bacillati; Actinomycetota; Coriobacteriia; Eggerthellales; Eggerthellaceae. The record is from RNAcentral.
GCCUGUGAACUCGGUAAAGUCUGUGCGGCGCCUUGGCGUCCCGCCCGUUUUCCGCACUCGUAAUGCGUAGGUCAGCGGUUCGAAUCCGCUCGUUGGCUCCA